GGUUGCGUGGUGUAACGGCUUAAAGCGUCAGCCUCUUGCUGUAGCAGGAGUUCGAGGGUUCGAAUCCCUUGGCAGCUA
Non-coding RNA from Mycena albidolilacea, 78 nucleotides. The record is from the annotation of a GenBank genome assembly. NCBI's taxonomy places the organism in Eukaryota, Fungi, Basidiomycota, Agaricomycetes, Agaricales, Mycenaceae.